GGGCGCAAGCCUGAUGCAGCGACGCCGCGUGGGGGAUGAAGGCCUUCGGGUUGUAAACUCCUUUCGCUAUCGACGAAGCCACUUGUGGUGACGGUAGGUAGAUAAGAAGCACCGGCUAACUACGUGCCAGCAGCCGCGGUAAUACGUAGGGUGCAAGCGUUGUCCGGAAUUACUGGGCGUAAAGAGCUCGUAGGUGGUUUGUCGCGUCGUCUGUGAAAUCCCGGGGCUUAACUUCGGGCGUGCAGGCGAUACGGGCAUAACUUGAGUGCUGUAGGGGAGACUGGAAUUCCUGGUGUAGCGGUGAAAUGCGCAGAUAUCAGGAGGAACACCGAUGGCGAAGGCAGGUCUCUGGGCAGUAACUGACGCUGAGGAGCGAAAGCAUGGGUAGCGAACAGGAUUAGAUACCCUGGUAGUCCAUGCCGUAAACGGUGGGCGCUAGGUGUAGGGGGCUUCCACGUCUUCUGUGCCGUAGCUAACGCAUUAAGCGCCCCGCCUGGGGAGUACGGCCGCAAGGCUAAAACUCAAAGGAAUUGACGGGGGCCCGCACAAGCGGCGGAGCAUGUGGAUUAAUUCGAUGCAACGCGAAGAACCUUACCUGGGCUUGACAUGUACCGGAUCGGGCUAGAGAUAGUCUUUCCCUUGUGGUCGGUAUACAGGUGGUGCAUGGUUGUCGUCAGCUCGUGUCGUGAGAUGUUGGGUUAAGUCCCGCAACGAGCGCAACCCUUGUCUUAUGUUGCCAGCACGUUAUGGUGGGAACUCAUGAGAGACUGCCGGGGUUAACUCGGAGGAAGGUGGGGAUGACGUCAAAUCAUCAUGCCCCUUAUGUCCAGGGCUUCACACAUGCUACAAUGGUCGAUACAAUGGGCAGCGACAUCGUGAGGUGAAGCGAAUCCCUGAAAGUCGGCCUUAGUUCGGAUUGGGGUCUGCAACUCGACCCCAUGAAGUCGGAGUCGCUUAGUAAUCUGCUAGUUCAAGUUUUCNGCAUGCAGGAUAGAAAAAUAA
This 1002-nucleotide ribosomal RNA is filed under the name Corynebacterium sp. SVII9. RNAcentral's name for it is "bacterial SSU rRNA". It matches the Rfam family "Bacterial small subunit ribosomal RNA", at positions 373 to 1369 of the family's 1533-position model. Lineage: Bacteria; Bacillati; Actinomycetota; Actinomycetes; Mycobacteriales; Corynebacteriaceae. The record is from RNAcentral.